GUGCUGGCUUUGACAGCACAUAUACUGAAACUGGAACAGUGCAGAGGAGAUUAGCAUGGCCCUCUGUGAGGAUGACAUGCCGAUUCCUGAAGCAUCCCAUGUUUUU
Non-coding RNA from Myotis davidii, 106 nucleotides. The record is from Rfam. Lineage: Eukaryota; Metazoa; Chordata; Mammalia; Chiroptera; Vespertilionidae.